This 251-nucleotide long non-coding RNA is filed under the name Homo sapiens (human). Its description in RNAcentral is "HSALNT0097167". Lineage: Eukaryota; Metazoa; Chordata; Mammalia; Primates; Hominidae. The record is from RNAcentral.
UUAAAGUGUUUGGUAGUUCCUCUUGCCUUCAUUUUCCCUCCUGCCGCCUUGUAAAGGAAGUGCCUUGCUUCCUCUUUGCUUUUCGCCAGGAUUGUAAGUUUCCUGAGGCCUCCCCAGCCAUGCGGAACAGAGCUUCUGGUUACACCGUCUGAGGAGAGAGGAUUCACUGGGAGCUGCCUUUGUCUUGCAGAUACCACCCAGAUGGAAACGGAAGCACUGAUAGACUACAGGCCAUCUUAUCAUGCUUAAAA